RNAcentral lists this long non-coding RNA (688 nucleotides) under Brachypodium distachyon (stiff brome). RNAcentral describes it as "long non-coding RNA (BDIS_LNC000159)". The record is from RNAcentral. Lineage: Eukaryota; Viridiplantae; Streptophyta; Magnoliopsida; Poales; Poaceae.
UUGCAUUUUAAUCCAUGAGGGUUUUGGCAUAAAAAGGGAUUUAAUUCAUAUAUUAAGCUAUCCCAUAAUUUGGCUUUUGAAAUUGUUUUGAAAAACAAUUUGUUUUGAUAGUCUAAAAGGCCCUAAAGGCUAUUUUAUAGGCAAAAGUAUUUUUAAAUAUUUUAUUUUGAGGAAAUUAUUGUCCCAAAAGUUAGAUCAUAUGAAGAUAUGAUUUUACAAAUUUUGUUGCAAUUUAUUUGGAGUGAUUUGGAGCCUUGAAUCAAAUUUGGGGUUCAAAAACAGAAAAUAGGAAAAGAAAAAGGAAAGAAGAAGAAAAAAAAGAAAAACCGAGGCUGGCCCGGCGAAAUGGGCCGAACCGGCCUGUUAACCGCCCGCGCCGGCCGAACUAAUCCCGGCCCCGCCGCGCACCCGAUUUGGCCCCACCUGUCAUCUUCUUCUUCCUCCAACCGCCUCUGUUUUCCCCGGCCGCGACGCGCACGACGCCCCCUCCGCGUCCGACUCGCCCACGACCCCAUCCUCCCCACCCUCCGCGUCACUUUACAGCCCUCGCCCGCUGCAGCAGUUUCCCCCUCUCGCCCGACCAAAAUCUCGCCGCCAGGCUUUGUCGCCGGAAUCCCGCGGAUGCAGCCGCCGUUCUUCGUCGAUGCCGGUUAACCGAUGAGCGAAAAGCCCCAAUUGGUUGCUACCC